GAAGAAACGGUUUAAAACUUAAUAUAUGCCAAACUAUGUGUAUAUAUACUUAAUAUACUAUUAGUAUAGCAUUGCUAUAUCAAUAACCAAGUUCUAACAAUUUCAAAGAUUUAGACAUCUCAUGCAGAAUCGAAUUUUUCAAUAGGAAAACCUGUUAAUGAUACAUGGAAUAAUUAUCCUGAUAAUUCUUUAAAUUCAAUGUCUUUACUCGACAACAUUAUGCUAUUUUAUAAUGGAACCAGUACAUUAAUUAAUGAUCUUCUUGAAAUAUUGCCAAAUCAAGGUUUGGAACUUCCCAAAGAUUCAAGGAGAAUUUUAAAAGCACCUUAUGAAAAGUGACUUAUAGACAGGAGCGUCAACUACAUCAAGUGUCAGUUGAUAUAUAUGUUUUGGUCAAAUACAUGUUUGUAUUUAUUCCUCUAAAAUUUGAAAGUAUGUGAUUCAAAAUUUCGCUUUUCCCAAAACAAAGUUAAAGAAAAUAUAUGAAGUCAAUGAUAAAUCUUAAAGUUUUACAAAGAAUAAUAAAUAGAAGUUAUUAAAUAUUGGUGGCUCAUCAUGCAGUGCAUUUGAGAAGGGCAUGCU
Molecule: non-coding RNA, 582 nt
Organism: Hydra vulgaris (swiftwater hydra)
Lineage: Eukaryota; Metazoa; Cnidaria; Hydrozoa; Anthoathecata; Hydridae
Source: RefSeq, a predicted model, not a curated record